Long non-coding RNA from Ipomoea nil (Japanese morning glory), 527 nucleotides. RefSeq lists it as uncharacterized. The record is from RefSeq and is a predicted model, not a curated record. NCBI's taxonomy places the organism in Eukaryota, Viridiplantae, Streptophyta, Magnoliopsida, Solanales, Convolvulaceae. The transcript is spliced from 3 exons.
CGCAACCUCUUCUUCUUCCCCAAGAUAUUCUCGUCGGAAUCCUCUCCAAGCUCCCCGCUAAAUCGCUAGUACGAUUCAGGUGCGUUUCUAAAUUCUUUUGCGCUCUCAUAGCCGACCAUGGCUUUGGCGUUCUGCAUCGCAGCUUGUCCUUGACACUUCCCACUAGGGCGGGCAUCCUCAUCGCUAUCAUACAGCCAAAGCGGCUCUCCUCCCGUUCCUCCCAUGUGUAUUACACCAUAAAUUUCAGCCAAGGGCAGCCGGGAAUGCUCCAAGCCAACCGUCUCGGCUACUUGGACGCUGAACCAUUUCUGGAAGGCUGUCUACACUCCUCCUCGGAUGGCCUGAUUUGUAUGUCCAGACCCAAUGGAGACGUCGUUGUUUGCAACGUUUGCACGGGACAACGUAUUUCCCUUCCGACAAUCCAAUUCCACUUCCCCCAUCCAUCUUUAUCCUGUGCACAGUUGGGGUUUGAUUCACAAUCUAAAAGAUACAAGGUUUUGAUGUCAGCCUGGUUAUUUUUUAAAGUC